This 327-nucleotide ribosomal RNA is filed under the name uncultured Elusimicrobia bacterium. RNAcentral's name for it is "bacterial SSU rRNA". It matches the Rfam family "Bacterial small subunit ribosomal RNA", at positions 29 to 351 of the family's 1533-position model. The record is from RNAcentral. Lineage: Bacteria; Pseudomonadati; Elusimicrobiota; Elusimicrobia.
AGUGAACGCUGGCGGCGUGCCUAACACAUGCAAGUCGAGCGAGAUUUAGCGGCACAUUGCUAAGUCUAGCGGCAGACGGGUGAGUAAUAUUUAGAAAACCUCCCCCAGAGAAGGGAACACCUUCGAGAAAUCGAAGCUAAUACCCUAUAAGACCACAGUCCGGCAUCGGACAGGGGUCAAACCCCGUAAGGGGCUCAGGGAUGGUUCUGAAUCCUAUCAGCUAGUUGGCGGGAUAACAGCCCACCAAGGCUAUGACGGGUAUCCGGCCUGAAAGGGCGAUCGGACACACUGGAACUGAGACACGGUCCAGACUCCUACGGGAGGCAG